Molecule: RNA transcript, 3347 nt
Organism: Cephus cinctus (wheat stem sawfly)
Lineage: Eukaryota; Metazoa; Arthropoda; Insecta; Hymenoptera; Cephidae
Gene: Mvl
Gene name: protein Malvolio
Exons: 15
Source: RefSeq, a predicted model, not a curated record
AAGAAUGCUGUAAUGGAAGGGAAUCUGUAGAAUGUAGUUGUGAAUAUCUGUAUCCAUGUUCCCUGUUCAUGAUCUACCAAUCUCGAUGUAGAAUAUUAAGAGGGGACAUGGAGGCAGUAGACAGUUGUGUCUGGUUGUGUCAAAGUAGUCGGUUUGAAUCUGCUUUUCCACUGUGGACAAAGUAAAUUGGCAGCAGUCGGUAGGAUUGGGUCGCGUAGUCAUAUUCAGUGAACGUAAUAAGAUUGUGGUGGGUAGAAUUAUUUAAGCUCAACUUCAAAUAUGCAGGAUAAUACGGCAUAUGAGUCUGAUGAAUUACAUAAUGGCACAAGAAAAGAACAAUCAUCAACGCAAAGGCUGCAAAAUGAGAGAACAGUCAACGAGAGCAGUAUUUUAUCCCCAAACAGCAACCAGACAUAUUUUGCUGAUGAAAGGAUUAUUAUUCCUAAUGUAGAUACGACCUGGUUUAGUUUUCGGAAAUUAUGGGCAUUCACAGGUCCUGGAUUCCUGAUGUCCAUAGCAUAUCUUGAUCCAGGAAAUAUAGAAUCUGAUCUACAAUCUGGUGUAGUUGCAAAAUACAAAUUAUUAUGGGUUUUAAUGAGUGCAACAAUUCUUGGACUCAUCAUGCAGAGAUUAAGUGCUCGGCUUGGUGUAGUGACGGGUCUUCAUUUAGCAGAAAUGUGUUAUAGGCAAUAUAAGAAGGCACCAAGAUUAAUUUUAUGGAUAAUGAUUGAAAUUGCUAUAAUCGGAAGCGAUAUGCAAGAAGUGAUAGGAACUGCAAUAGCCAUAUACCUUCUAUCAAAUAAGAUGGUUCCACUAUGGGGUGGAGUUCUAAUUACAGUCAUCGAUACAUUCACUUUUUUAUUUCUGGACAAAUAUGGCUUGCGAAAACUUGAAUUUUUCUUUGGUUUUCUCAUUACAAUAAUGGCUGUGACAUUUGGUUACGAGUACAUCGUAUCAGCACCACCACAAGAUGAAGUUGUAAAAGGCAUGUUCACACCAUGGUGUAAGGACUGUGAUAAUAGAGCAUUACUGCAAGCUGUUGGUAUUGUUGGUGCAGUUAUAAUGCCGCAUAAUCUUUACCUUCACAGCGCUCUUGUUAAAUCAAGAGAUAUUGAUCGCAAAGAACCUUCUAAGAUCAGAGAAGCCAACAUGUAUUAUUUCGUCGAAGCCUGUAUCGCCUUAUUCGUAUCGUUUUUAAUCAACGUCUUCGUGGUCGCAGUAUUUGCAGACGGCUUGUAUCAGAAAAAGAAUGAAGAUGUUUAUGCAGUUUGCGAAGCUCAUAACUAUACUCUUGGUAUGGAAACGUUUACGAAUGACAAUAACACGUUUGAUGCCGAUCUUUACAAGGGUGGCAUCUAUCUGGGUUGUCAGUUUGGUGCUGCAGCUAUGUAUAUAUGGGCAGUUGGUAUUUUAGCUGCUGGUCAGUCAUCAACGAUGACAGGCACGUAUGCUGGUCAAUUCGCCAUGGAAGGAUUUUUGAACCUCCAGUGGGCCCGUUGGAAACGAGUUUUGUUUACAAGAACAAUUGCCAUCGUUCCAACAUUUAUGAUUGCUUUCUUUGCUCAUAUUGAUGACUUAAGUGGAAUGAAUGACUUAUUGAAUGCUGUCAUGAGUCUUCAACUGCCUUUCGCCACGUUACCUACAAUAGCUUUCACUAGUAGCCCUCAAAUCAUGGGCGAAUUUAAAAAUGGAUUAGGAAACAAAAUCGUAGCCACUGCGUUAUCCGUGCUAGUGAUAUCGAUAAACAUAUACUUUGUGAUCAACACUGUUAAAGAGGAUAUACCACAUCAUUGGGCUAUCAUUUUAGCUAUUGCUGUAUUUGCAAUAUUAUAUUUAGCUUUCUGUUUAUAUUUGGCACUACAUAUGGCCGUAAGCAUGGGAUCAACAACCUUUAGGGACAAUUGGUUUGUCACGAAAUACAUCGGUGGACCGGUGGACCCAAACUUCGGUUUAUCCAAUCAUGCUGCUUAUUCUAGAUUUAUUACAACAAUCACGAAAAAUGUGCACACUGCUUCUUGCUUUAAAUUGAAUGCUUUUUUUCUCAAUGUUUAAUUCCCUGCCGAUUGGGUGUUUUCAAUAUGAAAUUAUAACUUCUGUUUCUUCAAUACGUCGGAAACAUCUCUGGACAGCUAGUCGAAUAUAAACGACUAGAGUAGCUGAAUUAAAUCUAGCUACAGUUCCUAAUAUAAAAAACAUUUAUUGCACCAAGCUUCAAGCUUAUAAUACUUUGUGACGUCAGCAUGAAUAGUGUAUGUUUGAACUUGCAAACUUGAUGUGGAUGCGAUUAACCAGCAACCUCCAAAAAAGAACAAAUACGGCAUUUACCAUUCAAGAUGGCAUACAUGGGAGUUUUGCAAAUCUUCCUACGUACUGAUUGUUAUCAAAUGUAAAAAGCACAAUCGAAACAAGAAACGCAGAAGAAGAGAGUCAAAAGUGUUUUUACGUAAAAUAUACGUUGUUAAGUAAAUUAUAUUUUAUAGCUUAAAACAUGAACGUUCCUCCUUUAAAACUUCAGUGACAUUUGUGAUAAUGUUCAAUUUGUUGAACCUCUUAUGAUUUUACAAAGUAAAUAUAUGAAAGCAAUGUUGCAUCGUUAUUAAUGAGUGCUUUCAUCAAUAAAAUGUGAUUGUGUCUGUAUAGGUGCAUGAGCAAUAUAAUAUUGUAACGUUCCGCUCUUAUAACCCCCUAUCCUUUAUCUUCUUUCCUUCCUAACCACCUUUCUCGGCAAUGGAUAUGUCAAAAGCCUCACAUAAGUGCAUAGCGCACGGUGGAUGUGCAUAAUUAUAUCUGAGAGAACUCAAAUCCUAAAAUUCCUCAAAAAUCCUAUCAACCUCUCACAGCGACGCCGAUAAAGAAAAAGGAAAAUAGGACCUUUAAAUCUCUACUAUUACAUAAUUCCCUUGAAAUUAGUCAUAGCGAAAAUCAUGAGAAAAUAAUAUUAGAGAUUAUUACCUUUAUAAUUCUAAGAAUUCAAAAACUAGUCGAACGACUGGAAUCAAAACAAGUGUCCAAGCGCUAUCAGCCAGUAGGCGCCAAAUACGAUACGAAAAACCAUUAACUCGGUACUUGUAUAAAACGCUAAUCCUAUUAGUAAAAUUAAAAGUCAAAUUAAAUACUAAAUCAAAUAUCAAAUCAAAAAUAGACGUUAACACUUUGGGAUGAUAAAAAUCCCCACUAAAAUUAACGUAUUUCUCUCGAAGAUAUAAGCAGCAGCUUCCUCGACAGGAAUUCAUUUGUGUUAAGUUCCGUUGUUAGUCACAACAACCAGUGUAUACCAAAAAAGGACAAGAAGCAAUAAAAGCUUGAGAAAUACCAUCUCGAUUACAAUACAUUACAAUUACAAUAUA